Mytilus californianus (California mussel) is the source of this 436-nucleotide long non-coding RNA. RefSeq lists it as uncharacterized. Lineage: Eukaryota; Metazoa; Mollusca; Bivalvia; Mytilida; Mytilidae. The record is from RefSeq and is a predicted model, not a curated record. The transcript is spliced from 3 exons.
AACGGAGGGAACAGUAACUUCACAGCUCCCAGAGGAUCUUCUGCAUAAAAGAAAUUCGGACAUUUUACAGAUUGUGGAUAAAGAUGUUACACCACUGGGUGUUUUUUAUAUAAUGAUUACGCUGGACUGCCUUAAAGGUUGCUGGACCGUGAAUGUGUUUAGAGGUCACUAGACCAUAUGUUUAAGUGUCACUGGACGUACAUCUUAUAAGAUGUUUUACGUAUUUGCAUUGUGUAGUGUUGGUCACAGGACCAUAUAGAAAUCAUAACGAUUAUUUUGUUGCAGAACAUGAUAUUGUCCAAGAUUCUGUCAGGCAGUGUAUCUUGUGUUUUUGAUGGACUUUAUUAUUUUAGUUUGAUGGACUUAACCAGAUCAGAUACAUAUUGUAUUAGGAAAAUAAAAUUUAAGGUGGUCACUGCGCCAUUCAGUAUCCAAA